Molecule: ribosomal RNA, 1554 nt
Filed under: Klebsiella aerogenes
Lineage: Bacteria; Pseudomonadati; Pseudomonadota; Gammaproteobacteria; Enterobacterales; Enterobacteriaceae
Also listed under: 1 other name
Description: bacterial SSU rRNA
Rfam family: Bacterial small subunit ribosomal RNA
Source: RNAcentral
ACUUAAAUUGAAGAGUUUGAUCAUGGCUCAGAUUGAACGCUGGCGGCAGGCCUAACACAUGCAAGUCGAGCGGUAACACAGAGAGCUUGCUCUCGGGUGACGAGCGGCGGACGGGUGAGUAAUGUCUGGGAAACUGCCUGAUGGAGGGGGAUAACUACUGGAAACGGUAGCUAAUACCGCAUAACGUCGCAAGACCAAAGUGGGGGACCUUCGGGCCUCAUGCCAUCAGAUGUGCCCAGAUGGGAUUAGCUAGUAGGUGGGGUAAUGGCUCACCUAGGCGACGAUCCCUAGCUGGUCUGAGAGGAUGACCAGCCACACUGGAACUGAGACACGGUCCAGACUCCUACGGGAGGCAGCAGUGGGGAAUAUUGCACAAUGGGCGCAAGCCUGAUGCAGCCAUGCCGCGUGUAUGAAGAAGGCCUUCGGGUUGUAAAGUACUUUCAGCGAGGAGGAAGGCGUUAAGGUUAAUAACCUUGGCGAUUGACGUUACUCGCAGAAGAAGCACCGGCUAACUCCGUGCCAGCAGCCGCGGUAAUACGGAGGGUGCAAGCGUUAAUCGGAAUUACUGGGCGUAAAGCGCACGCAGGCGGUCUGUCAAGUCGGAUGUGAAAUCCCCGGGCUCAACCUGGGAACUGCAUUCGAAACUGGCAGGCUAGAGUCUUGUAGAGGGGGGUAGAAUUCCAGGUGUAGCGGUGAAAUGCGUAGAGAUCUGGAGGAAUACCGGUGGCGAAGGCGGCCCCCUGGACAAAGACUGACGCUCAGGUGCGAAAGCGUGGGGAGCAAACAGGAUUAGAUACCCUGGUAGUCCACGCCGUAAACGAUGUCGACUUGGAGGUUGUGCCCUUGAGGCGUGGCUUCCGGAGCUAACGCGUUAAGUCGACCGCCUGGGGAGUACGGCCGCAAGGUUAAAACUCAAAUGAAUUGACGGGGGCCCGCACAAGCGGUGGAGCAUGUGGUUUAAUUCGAUGCAACGCGAAGAACCUUACCUACUCUUGACAUCCAGAGAACUUAGCAGAGAUGCUUUGGUGCCUUCGGGAACUCUGAGACAGGUGCUGCAUGGCUGUCGUCAGCUCGUGUUGUGAAAUGUUGGGUUAAGUCCCGCAACGAGCGCAACCCUUAUCCUUUGUUGCCAGCGGUCCGGCCGGGAACUCAAAGGAGACUGCCAGUGAUAAACUGGAGGAAGGUGGGGAUGACGUCAAGUCAUCAUGGCCCUUACGAGUAGGGCUACACACGUGCUACAAUGGCAUAUACAAAGAGAAGCGACCUCGCGAGAGCAAGCGGACCUCAUAAAGUAUGUCGUAGUCCGGAUUGGAGUCUGCAACUCGACUCCAUGAAGUCGGAAUCGCUAGUAAUCGUAGAUCAGAAUGCUACGGUGAAUACGUUCCCGGGCCUUGUACACACCGCCCGUCACACCAUGGGAGUGGGUUGCAAAAGAAGUAGGUAGCUUAACCUUCGGGAGGGCGCUUACCACUUUGUGAUUCAUGACUGGGGUGAAGUCGUAACAAGGUAACCGUAGGGGAACCUGCGGUUGGAUCACCUCCUUACCUUAAAGAA